Molecule: ribosomal RNA, 502 nt
Filed under: uncultured Desulfobulbus sp.
Lineage: Bacteria; Pseudomonadati; Thermodesulfobacteriota; Desulfobulbia; Desulfobulbales; Desulfobulbaceae
Description: bacterial SSU rRNA
Rfam family: Bacterial small subunit ribosomal RNA
Source: RNAcentral
GCCCGCUCAGAAACUACAAAGGAAGUUGACGGGGCCCGCACAAGCGGUGGAGUAUGUGGUUUAAUUCGAUGCAACGCGAAGAACCUUACCUGGUCUUGACAUCCCGGAGACCCUUAGGAAACUAGGGGGUGCUUCCAUCUGGAAGAAUCUGGAGACAGGUGCUGCAUGGCUGUCGUCAGCUCGUGUCGUGAGAUGUUGGGUUAAGUCCCGCAACGAGCGCAACCCUUGCCUUUAGUUGCCAGCAGUUCGGCUGGGCACUCUAAAGGGACUGCCGGUGUUAAACCGGAGGAAGGUGGGGAUGACGUCAAGUCCUCAUGGCCUUUAUGACCAGGGCUACACACGUACUACAAUGGCCGAUACAAAGGGCAGCGACACUGCGAGGUGAAGCCAAUCCCGUAAAAUCGGUCUCAGUCCGGAUUGGAGUCUGCAACUCGACUCCAUGAAGUUGGAAUCGCUAGUAAUCGUGGAUCAGCAUGCCACGGUGAAUACGUUCCCGGGCCUU